This 378-nucleotide unclassified non-coding RNA is filed under the name uncultured Chlamydiales bacterium. Its description in RNAcentral is "contains 16S-23S intergenic spacer region". Lineage: Bacteria; Pseudomonadati; Chlamydiota; Chlamydiia; Chlamydiales. The record is from RNAcentral.
UCCUGGUUAACCCAGGCAGUCUCGUUAGAGUUCCCGCCAUUACGCGUUGGCAACUAACGAUAAGGGUUGCGCUCGUUGCUGGACUUAACCAAACACCUCACGGCACGAGCUGACGACAGCCAUGCAGCACCUAUAUAGAGGCCCUUGCGGGAGAUAACAUUUCUGCUAUCGCCCUCUACAUUUCGAGCCCAGGUAAGGUUCUUCGCGUUGCAUCGAAUUAAACCACAUGCUCCACUGCUUGUGCGGGCCCCCGUCAAUUCUUUUGAGUUUCACCCUUGCGAGCGUACUCCCCAGGCGGUAUACUUAAUGCGUUAGCUCCGGUACAGAGGGGGUUGAUCCCACCUACACCUAGUAUACAUCGUUUAAGGCAUGGACUAC